UAGCUUGCUCUCGGGUGACGAGCGGCGGACGGGUGAGUAAUGUCUGGGAAACUGCCUGAUGGAGGGGGAUAACUACUGGAAACGGUAGCUAAUACCGCAUAACGUCGCAAGACCAAAGUGGGGGACCUUCGGGCCUCAUGCCAUCAGAUGUGCCCAGAUGGGAUUAGCUAGUAGGUGGGGUAACGGCUCACCUAGGCGACGAUCCCUAGCUGGUCUGAGAGGAUGACCAGCCACACUGGAACUGAGACACGGUCCAGACUCCUACGGGAGGCAGCAGUGGGGAAUAUUGCACAAUGGGCGCAAGCCUGAUGCAGCCAUGCCGCGUGUGUGAAGAAGGCCUUCGGGUUGUAAAGCACUUUCAGCGGGGAGGAAGGCGGUGAGGUUAAUAACCUUGUCGAUUGACGUUACCCGCAGAAGAAGCACCGGCUAACUCCGUGCCAGCAGCCGCGGUAAUACGGAGGGUGCAAGCGUUAAUCGGAAUUACUGGGCGUAAAGCGCAC
RNAcentral lists this ribosomal RNA (500 nucleotides) under Klebsiella sp. ES44. RNAcentral's name for it is "bacterial SSU rRNA". It matches the Rfam family "Bacterial small subunit ribosomal RNA", at positions 72 to 570 of the family's 1533-position model. The record is from RNAcentral. Lineage: Bacteria; Pseudomonadati; Pseudomonadota; Gammaproteobacteria; Enterobacterales; Enterobacteriaceae.